UCGCUGUCAAGCCAGCUUUUUAUAGCUUCCCAUUUGUUAUCCUCGUUUGAUGGCAGUGAUAACAACGGAGGCAACAGGCCUACCGGAACCACAGGUUUCUGGUAAAGCUUGAUAAGCAAUUUAAUCGCGUCCCGUUCGAACUCGAAGCAGGUGCGCAUGGUUACAAAUUGGCAACCUUGAAUCAGUCGUCCAAUCCGUUGGAAAUCAGACACGUCGUCAUCCAUGCACUGUUGGUGGUUCACCAUCUCAUGUAGCUUGAAAGCUAUGUUGUUGCAAGGAUAAUCUAUCCACUCAGGGAUGACCGUGAAAUCUUCCGGUCGUUUCCGGCGAUCACCGAGCAAAGCUGAUGGUGGACCUAAGAAAGCAAACGUGCUGGCAUUGAAUAUGCUGAAGAAAACCAAGUUGACGCCUAAUGGAGCUGCAAUACCAGGUAACCAGUAAGGUGCAAAAUCAUGGAUUAUCCAGUUGACGUUUGAGUUUUUGAGGAAGUCAGUUAAAGGGUCUCGAAGCUUGUCGUAUGCCCUUUUAAGGUAAGGGACUUUGUCGAUUGGUACCUCAGAAGUGGCCUCAACUCCUGGAGGUAAGCCAUGCACAUGGGGAAGAGAAAACUCGACGAAACUUAAGUUAGAGGACAGAUGUGGGGGAAGUUUAGGGAGGCGACUAAUAUUUUUAGGGGUGGAAAUAUAGGAUAUUCGAUGACCCUUUUGAGCCAAGAAUUUGGAAACCUCGAGAAACGGCAUUGUAUGACCAUAAGCUAGCCAUGGGAACAUAGCUAUGUGAAGCUUUUCUGUUCUGUCCAUGGCGGUUUUGGGGUGCAGAUUGCAAAAGACAAAAUACGUUUUAAUUGGGAAUCAGAAAAUGAAAUUCAAGAGGGUAUUAUAUAUAUUUACUUGUGGGGAUAUUUUGCUGUGUGGUCUUGCACCGCUGGAACUUUUUAAAUGUAAAAAAAUUAUAAAAAAAUUUAAAAAAUUAUUUUAAAAAAUUAUAAAAAAAAUUAAAAUAGGAUAAAAGUUAUAAAUUUAUAAAAUUACAAAAAAAUAUAAAAAGGAAUAUAAGUAUAUUUUUUAUUUGAUUUUAGGAUAUAAUAAAUUAAAUACUAAUUUUUUAAUAAAAUAUAACUAAUAUUAAAAAUAUUAAUUAAUUAAACAAAUAAAAACAAAGGAAGAAACUGAAACUUAUCUUCGUCGGUGGGGGAGGUACCUUCAAAUAUUUAAUUUUUUUGUGUGCAGGUUUGGGGAUCAAACCAAACUAACCGCUUGUAUACUGUUUUAAAAAAAAUUGUAUUUUGGUUUUAAAUACGAAUACUGCCGAUUGGUCGGGCAUCACCAUUUCGCUAUUCCUUCUACCUAUUUCCGUAAAUAUUGAUUCAUUUAUCCUAUUAUGGUAUUUAUUUAUUUAUUUUAUAUUAUUUAUGAAAAAAAACCCUCAUUCUUUAUUAGAGGAUAGUUCUAUCAAAUGUCAUAUAAAACUCAAAUGCAUUAAGAAGGGUUGAAUUAUUACAAAUUUGAAGAAAGAAGACAAAUAAAAAAUGACACAAUGAUUUAGGUCAGUUUGACUCCAAUUGUCUACAUCCACUACCUUACCUCCCCACAGUUAAAGAAUUCUCAAAUUUAUUAAUUUGAAACCUUUUAGGAAUAAUGUUUAACCUUUACAACUUUGUCAUUUAAGUGGGCAAGCUAGAGCCAGUUUCUGAGGUUUUCUGUCUAAAAUCUUAAGUAACCACUUAUAAAAUUGAGAAAUGAAAACGGAACGAGGAAUACCUCUCAAAGGUUGAUAUUCAAGGCCAUUCAAAUAAAUUACAACACUUGAAAUAAUGAAAAAGAAUGAAACCCCGAGUGUGUAUAAAAAUAAGAUGAGACUUUCAAAUGAAAGAUUGAAUUUUUGCACAAUAAGCUUUGUAAACUUGUUUCUUGUCUUAUUCUUGAUGUUCUUGAACUCUAUUUAUAUCAUCUCAAAUGAUUUCUAGCCUUUUGAAGUAGUCAGAGGGAAAAUUGAGCCAUUGACAAUAUUUACUCGGCAUAAAAUGUAGUUGCAGGGGCUUAUGUUUUGGUAUAUGUAGUUCCAAUACCUCUAUAUUGGGGUUUGGUACUCCUAAAUUCUCACAAAACAAUUUUGCUUGACAUGUACAUGACCAAAGAAGGCAGAGGCCCGAUACAUAGUCAUAUGUAUCGGCAAUUAGGCCAAGGAGUUUGAUACUUUGAAGUCAGUAGCUUAUAGAUUUAAUGUGUUUUGAUACCCUUAAUAAUGCAUCGGAAUACACCUUAAGCUUUGUCAAAAUUUACUUGGUACAAGCCCAUUUUUUGCCCUAAUGGGUAAUUUGCGCCUUUGGUCCCUCCAAUCCUGUGGCGCAUUCAAGGCAGCCUUUUAUUUCAUUUAAUUUUGGCCACAUAAUUUGGUGCCUAUUCCAACCUAGUCCUGCGCAAAACGAUGCGCAUAAGGGACGGAGAAUUUUCACAAUCGGUCCCUUGAUUUUGAGCACGUUUCAUUUCAGUCAUCGGCAAUCCCUUUUUAUUUAUUUACAGUUUGGACCCCCGGAUUUUGGUUUGAUUUUAAUUUCAUCCUUUAGUUCAUUUAGUUUUUUUUUUUUAAGAAAAAGGGAGUUCCUCCAUUAUUUAUUUUAAGUUAUGUAUACAUAUAUAUAUUAUUUACCUAAUAUCUUUCUUAUUAUUUGUAUUAUUUGAUUUAAGUCAUUAUAUAUACACGCACAUGCAUUUUGUAAUUCAUAUAUAUAUAUAUAUAUAUAUAUAUUUAUUUAUUUUAUUUUUUGUAAUUUUAAAAUAUAUGUAUAUACAUACACAUAUUCUCAUUUUUCUUUUAUAUAGUUUUAUAUUUUUUUAUUUUUUUUAUAUUCAUUGUUUUUUUUUUCUGUUUAUGGGGAUAAUUUAUCAUUUGUUUUGAAGUAUCUUUAUAAAUCAUUUAUUUUGAGCCAUUGGUUUCUUAAAUUAAUUUAUAUAUUGUUUCGUUUUGUUCAUUUUAGUUAUUGAUAUUUGUACUCGACGUAUGGUGUAAUUAUUGUCAUUAUGUGUAUUAUUUCGUUUAUUCGUAUUUCCAUGCUAUGGUAAUUCAUUCGUGUACCCUGUUGUUUGAUAACUUGUUUCUCCUUGUUGUAAAUUGUCAUUCCAUCAACACAACCCUUUUUUCACACGCUAUUUCAAACGUUACGUUUAUUUUUACCCAAAUUUGUAAAAAGAAAAUUUCGAAAACAAGGCAAUAUCUUGCGUUUGGAAAUUCGAGAAAACGUACCCUAACUUAUUAGGUCUCGAUUGUCUCGUUAAACCUAAAUAGCAAAAUAUCCGUUUAAAUUUCCAAACACACAAAAUUUCAAAAAAUAAAGGUAAUAUUCUAUAUUUAGAAAAUUCGAGAAAUUGUGCCCUAACUUACUGGGCUUCGAUUUUUUCUCGUUGAUUCUAAGUAUCCGAAUAUCCUUUUAAAAUUAAAAUAAAUGAGGUUUAAAUAAAAAAUAAAAAGGCAAGCUUACUCUCAAAAUACGAGGUGCCGUGUCCUAACUUACUGGAUGUGACAUCUUGUUAAUUCGAGAUAAGAAGACAUUUUUCAUUUUGAUUUAUUCGAGUAAUUUUUAAAAUAACACAAUAUAAAUAGGGAUUGUAUUUUUAAAUUCUUUUCGAGUUUUUAGUUUUCGACACCAAGAUAUUAAGUAAUCAACUAGGUACCAAUUUUGGGCGUAUCGAGGGUGCUAACCCUUCCUCGUGCGGAAUCGACUCCUGAACUUGUUUUUUUUUUUAAUUUCAUGGACCAAAAUCGUUGUUUUAAUAAAAUCUAAAUCGUUUAUUAAAAACAACCGUUUUACGAGGUGACCCGAUCGCACCUCAUCAAAAAUGAUUGCUGGCGACUCCCCUUUUCGUUUUUAUUUUCAAAAUCCAAGUCGACCACGUUUUAGCAAAAAAAUGGUGUCAACAUAUACCAUACAUAUAUAUAAAAGAAAAGCUACAUACAUAAGUAAGUUUUUUUUUAAAAAAAUAAAUAAAUUACAUAUAAGUAAAAUCGAUUUAAAAUACAUACAUAAACAUAUUAAAAACACUUGAAAUCCAUAAUCUUAAUAAUAUCUAAUAUCAUAAUAUUAACAUAUAUAUUUUUUAAAAUAUUUAAUAAUUUAUGUGUAUAUGAAGAAUAGUAUUAUAUGAAAAAAUAUUAUUAUGUAAAUAUUCUAUAUAUAACAUAUUAAAAUGAUAAAUUUUAAAACAAAGGUAAAACAUCAAAACAUACAUAUAAGAUAUAACAAAUCGUCAAAAAAAUGUAUUGAUGAAUGAUAAAUUAAAUGGUAAAAUAUUAAUAUUUUCUUAAAACGUAUAAUGGAAAAACUAUUGUAUGAUGACUUUAAAAAAUAAAAUCAACAAUAUAAAAUAAUAACUUAUUAUAUUUUAAACUAUAAUAAUAAAAUAUAAAAAAAACAAAUACUAUCAAAAGCUAAAUAUUAAAAUAAUACUAAUUUUUUUUCAUAUAUGUCAAAACAUGAUUAAAUAUAUUUAAAAUCUAAUAUUAAAAGGAAAGAAAGGAAAACAAAAAAAACAUGCACUAAAUUGAAAUCUAACUUAAUGUUGCGGGACUAAGUUAGCAAUUAAACGCAAAAAAAAAAAUCAAAACCAAACACAGGAAACGGCAUCGUUUGACCAUGGAUCAAAUUGGAAUCAAAAUAAAAAAUAUGAUAAUAAUUUUAAAAAAUUUGAAAGGAACUGAAUUGAAAUGAAAGCCAGCAUGGAGGGAUUUAUCGCGCAAAUUUCCCCUUGAUUUUAAAAGGCGCGGAUCCUCACCGAAUCAAAUCGGAUCACCGGGUCAAGGCACCGAACAGUGUCGUUUUCGAAAACAUUUAAAAGCGAAAAAAACCUAAAUCUAAAGGUCUUUGUUUAGAAUGGCAGAAGAGAAGGGGAGCGCCGCUUUCGGCCUCUCACCCUCUGUCGCUUCAUGCCUCAAAUCUCCAUCCGACCCCGAUUGAGACGGAGCAGAAGGUAGAUCAGCCACCAGGUAACCUCGUUCUUAAACCUCUCUUUUUCUUUUGCUUAUUGUAUUCGUAAACAAAGAAACAAAAAAAAGAAAGAAAACAGUGAACAAAAAACGAAAAAAGAAAAAAAAUUGAAUAUACCUCUCAAAUCUUUUUGUUUUCUUUUAAUUUUUUUUGUAUUCAAUCCGUAAAAAAGGAAGAAGAAGCCCCCGUUACAGAAAAUGAAUCGGCUUUUUAUAGCCAAAGCCAAAAGAAAAGAAAAAUACAUAAUAAAGAAAACAAAAAUCCCUUCUCCUCUCUGUUCUUUUUUCUUUUUGCUCUUUUUUUCUGUUUUCUUUUUGUUGCUGGUUGUUUGUUUGUUUGCUGCGCAGGUACGGCGUACGGAGGCCAGCUGGAGGCGCGUGGAGGUACUACAUGCAUGGAAAGUGGCUCGACACGCGCGGAGGAUGGCCUUGGCGGCUGCGGCGCUGGAAGCUGUUGCUGCUAGGGUUUCUUUGAAACUAUUUUGGGCUUGUAUUGGGCUAACGGUUUGGGUAGUUUAGGUUAAAUGAUUUAGGGUUAUUGGGCUAGGCUAGUGGGUUAAAAUGAUUUGGGCCACGUUGGGCCCAUGUAUUUGGACUAUGGACUUUUAGAUUUUGGUUUGGUUUAUUUUAUUUUUUUAUAUUUAUUUCUGAUUUGGGCCGGGCAUAAAUUGGGUAUUACAACUUUUAUUUUAAAAAUGAUAAUGGAGUCGCCACCAAUCCUUUUUAUUAGGCAUGAUCGGAUCACCUCAUAAUUUGAUUAUUUUAAUAAAAUUUUAGAUUUAUUAAAACGAUGAUUUUCGGUUCACAAAGAAACCUAGGAAAUGGAUUCGGAAGUCGGUUGCGCACGAGAAAGGAUUAGCACCCUCGUAACGCCCAGAAUUGGUAACUAGUUGAUUAAUUGAUGUCUUAGUGUCGAGAAUUAAAAAUUUGAAGAGAAUUUAAAACAUGAUCCCACCUGACAUUAAAAUCACUUAAGUAAAUUAAACAUAUGUAAAAGGUCUUCUCAUCUCGAGGUAAACAAAAAUGUCUCGUCCCAUAAGUUAGGACACGACGUUUCGAAUCCUAAAAAAUAAGCUUGCUCAUUAUUUGAUUAUUAGUUAAAUCUCACAUGUUUUAGUUUUACAAGAGAUGUUCGAUUAUUUAGGUUCAAGGAGAAAGUCGAACCCCUUAAGUUACGACUUUCUCGAAUCUCCAAAUACGGAACAUCACCUAUAUUUUAAAAUUUCCUUCAUCGAGUAAUAACAAAUGUAAUAUUUAAAACAAUGUGUAUUUAUCUUAUUUGGGUAUAGUACAACAAUGGAUAAAUAUAUCUAAACACGAUCCGUGACAUGAUUGUAGCAAGCCAAAUUAGCCUGGGCCCACACAAAUAAAUUAUUGGGCGUAGCCCAAUUCUUUUUACAGGCCCAACAAACUAAAUGGCCCAACAAUUAAAAAAACUAGGCAGAAACCCUAGUGUAGCAAGGGUUUGGCGCCGCAGCAAGCCCCCAAACGCACCCAGCAGCCCCACGUCGCGCCCGACGUCUCCAGCAAGCAUCCAGUCGCCGCAGGACUCGGAGAUCGGCCUCCCCACGCGCGUCGUUUGCUCCAGGAACUCCUGCAAUCGCGGACUCAAAGAAUCCGAAGGAGAAAAACAAGCAAAGAAACAAUAUCAUCGAUUUAUUUUCUUUUUUUCUUUUCGGCCUAUAAAAGGCCACUUUUAAUCUGUAAAAAGGGGCACUGAAACAGAGAAAUACAAAAGAAAGUAUUGAGGAAUACAAAGAUUUCUUUCGAAGGUGAAUCGAGUUUCAGAUUUUCUUUUUUUUUUUCUUUUUUUUUCUGCUUAUUUGUUAAAAAAUAUAUUCAAGAGGGUGAGUGGCUUACCUUCGAAGCUCCGCCGAUGAAACCCCUGCUCGCUGCGUCCAAAUUGGAAGUCCGGCGGAGGGUUGAGGCUUGAGGCAGUCGCGCGUUGCGGCGGCGGCGGCGCAAAAGAGGGCUAGGGCCGAAACCCUAGCAGAGGAAAAGGGGCCAACCCUUUCUUUUUUAUUUUAUUUUAUUUUUUUAUUCUAUAGCAAACUUUGUUUUUUUUUACAUUUUUGUGUUUAAGUGAUAUUAUCAAAAUGGCACCGUUUUCAUUAAAGCAGACCCGCGCGGUGACCCGACCCGAAGGGGAGGAUCCGCGCGUUCUUGCUUUUGAUGGUACAAUUGUGCAUUUAGCCCCUGCCAUUUGCGAUGCGUUUCAAUUAAACAUGUUUUGUUUUUUAAAUUGAGCCGCAAAUUUUAGUUUUAUUUCAAUUUGGGCCCAUCACUGCGCAGCGUUUUGGAAGGACGGGAUAAUUUCCUUUUUAGGUCCUCCACUGUUACGCAUUCAAGUGACCCCUUUUUUUUUAAAAAAUUAUUUUAAAUUCGCCCCAUUUUUUCGUUUUUAACUCAAUUUGAUCUUUUUUUUGUUUUUAUCAUGACUAUGCUAUAUCAUUUUUUUUUAUUUUAUCUUAUUUAUUGUUAUUAUUAAUAUUAUUAUUACUAUUGUUAUUUCAUUCAUACAUACGCCAAUUUUAAUCUACAUGCCUAUUUAAUACAUAUAUGUUUUUUUCAUGAACACAUACAUUCAUACAUUUUUUUUAAACUUGUGUUUCACGGUUUUUCAGUUUUUUUUAACCUUCUCAUACUUUAUACUCCAUAUAUAUACUUAUACAGUUUUAAAAUAGAUACAUAUAUAUACGUACAUAUUUUAAUUCUUACAUACACCUAUUUUAUGCAUUUUUAUAUGUAUAUGUUAUGUUUUCAUAAUUUCUAUAAAUAAAUAUGUAUAUAUAUGUGUGUGUAUAUGCCUACAUUUUAUGAUUCAUAUGCAUUUUAUUUUAUAUAUACAUGUUCUUAGGAAUUAUUAUAAAUUUUGUUUUUUUAUUUUACACUUAUAUAUGUGCAUUAACGUAUGUACAUUUUUUUUUAAUUUUUUUUACGAUUUUCAUAUUCACCCAUACAUGCAUUUUUAUAUAUAUUGCAUUCCAUCUUUUUAUAUGUAUUAUCGUAUGUAUUGGAAUUAAUUAUGUAAAUAUGUAUGAUAGUUUUUGUGUAUAUCUAUUUUCUUUUAAUUAGGAGAUUAGAUGCUAAAGUUUAGGAGAUAAUAUUUUGUUUUAAUUAGGAGAUUAGAUGCUAAGUUUAAGAGAUAAUAUUUUGGUUUCUAUCUUUGUAUUUUACUGUGUAUAUAUGUUCUUGAUUUUGGGAGGAAUAAAACACAGAGAAAAUUCCCACAAUUCUUGUUAUUUUUUCAUGGUAUCAUGAGCAGGUUUUGAAUGUGGCGAGAAUUGUACUUGUCAACUAUCAGCCGAGUUGGAAAAGCGACGAGAAGAGGAAAAAGUUCACCACUUCCUGAUGGGAUUGGAUGGGACAUAUAGCACGGUUAGAUCCAACAUCUUGGCUAACGAUCCGUUGCCAUCCUUGAGCAAGGCUUAUUCGAUGGUUAUUCAGGAAGAACGAGUGAAGACCAUAUCUCGUGAGAUGGAAGAUCGCUCCGAUGUGAUGGCUAUGGCGGUGCAAAGUCGAGGCCGUGGAGAAAGUAAGGAGAAAGGGGGGGUUUGUUCCCAUUGCAAACAACCCGGACAUGAUAUUGAUAAUUGUUUUGCUAUUAUUGGUUAUCCUGAAUGGUGGGGAGAUCGACCCCGAGGAACUAUGAAGGGUGGAAGCCGUGGCAAGAAUUUAGGCCAACGUCAAUCAAACAGUCGAGGACGAGGGGGGCAGCGAGCUAAUGCUGUCCGGACCCACACAGGGGGAGUAUCGUCUUCAAAUGCUAACACUGAUGAUACUAAAGCAAACACUUUGCCUGGGCUUAGCAACGAACAGUGGCAAGUUUUGCUCCAAACCUUAAAGGGUAUGAGAUCAACUACGACUGAGAAGAUGACGGGUAAGAAAUUGUCUUGGAUUAUUGACACAGGAGCGUCAAAUCAUAUGACGGGUAAUCUAAAAUUUUUACAUAAUAUUCAUAAAAUUCCUAAUUGUCCCGUUGGGUUACCGGAUGGGAGUGAAUCUGUGGCUACUUUGAAAGGAUCUGUUGCUCUUGGAGGAGAUUUAUUGUUGCGAAAUGUUCUAUUUGUGCCGAAUUUGACAUGCAAUCUUAUCUCUGUGUCACAACUUAUGGAAAAUGCUUCUUGCUUUAUCCAGUUCACUAAAAAAUUAUGUGUUAUACAGGACCGUACCUCGAGGAUGCUGAUUGAGCGGGUGAACAAAGGGNNNNNNNNNNNNNNNNNNNNNNNNNNNNNNNNNNNNNNNNNNNNNNNNNNNNNNNNNNNNNNNNNNNNNNNNNNNNNNNNNNNNNNNNNNNNNNNNNNNNNNNNNNNNNNNNNNNNNNNNNNNNNNNNNNNNNNNNAGAUAGUAGGGAUGAGAUUUUGAAUAAAUGUUGUGAUGUGUGCCUUCGAGCAAAACAAACUAGAGAAGUUUUUUCUUUAAGUGAACAUCGUGCAGUUGAUAUUUUUGAAUUAAUACAUUGUGAUUUAUGGGGUCCUUAUAAUACUUUGUCUACUUGUGGAGCAUCAUAUUUUCUGACAAUAGUUGAUGAUUUUUCAAGGAGUGUGUGGAUUUUCUUGAUCAACAAUAAAUCUGAAGUACCUUCAAUGUUUAAAAAUUUCUUCACUAUGAUCAAACGACAAUUUGAUAAACAAGUAAAUAUGUACGUAGUGACAACGAGAAAGAAUUUACUUGCAUGAAGAAUUAUUUUGUGGAACAUGGUAUUAUUUUCCAAUCUUCAUGUACCGGCACUCCACAACAAAAUGGGAGAGUCGAAAGAAAGCAUAGGCACAUCUUAAAUGUUGCGCGUGCUCUUAGAUUUCAAGGAUCGCUUCCUAUCAAGUUCUGGGGUGAGUGCAUUUUGACUGCAGGUUACCUAAUUAAUCGAACUCCUUGUUCGGGUUUAAAUGGAAAGACGCCAUAUGAGGCUCUCUAUGGUCGACAACCAGAUUUUGGUCACCUAAGAAUAUUUGGAUCUUUGUGUUACGCUCACUGUAAGACUAGGGAUAAGUUUGCCAGCCGAAGUAGAAAAUGUGUGUUCAUGGGUUAUCCUUAUGGGAAGAAAGGUUGGCGUUUAUAUGACUUAAAAAAACUAGAAUUCUUUGUCUCUAGAGAUGUUGUUUUCUUUGAAGAUUAAUUUCCUUUUGCUACAGCUUUUGCAAGUCAGUCCAUGAUCGACACAAUUGCACUCCCUCAAAGUGAAGGACUUGACGAGGCAUGGAAUGAGGUAGUGGUUUCAAAUGAUAGUCAAGCUACUGAUGUAGAUGAGCAGCAGGCUGAAAAUGAAAGUAGCGAAAUUGAUACUCGAAGUGGUGAAGAAGAGUUGGGACGUGGACGGCGUUUAAAGUAGUCUUCAGUUCGGCUGCGGGACUUUGUCAUACACACCAUUCAGAGGAAAAGUCCNNNNNNNNNNNNNNNNNNNNNNNNNNNNNNNNNNNNNNNNNNNNNNNNNNNNNNNNNNNNNNNNNNNNNNNNNNNNNNNNNNNNNNNNNNNNNNNNNNNNNNNNNNNNNNNNNNNNNAGAACGAGAGCCGAAAUCUUAUUCUGAAGCUGCUAGAAGCAAAGAAUGGCGUGAUGCCAUGUCUAGUGAAAUCGAGGCUUUAGAAAAGCAAAGAACUUGGGAGAUUGAGGAUCUUCCGAAAGGGAAAAAGGCACUCGGAUGCAAAUGGGUGUAUAAAAUAAAACAUCACUCUGAUGGCUCCGUUGAACGAUUCAAAGCUCGUCUUGUGAUUCUUGGUAAUCAUCAAGUGGCUGGAAUUGACUACACUGACACAUUUGCACCGGUUGCAAAGAUGGUUACUGUUCGGGUUUUUCUUGCUAUUGCAGCAGCCAAGCAAUGGGAAUUACAUCAAAUGGAUGUACAUAAUGCUUUUCUACAUGGGGAUCUUCAGGAGGAAGUUUAUAUGACGAUACCACCCGGAUAUCGAGUAACACAACCGGUAAAAGUGUGUAAGCUUCGGAAAUCUCUCUAUGGGCUCAAGCAAGCGCCAAGAUGCUGGUUUGCCAAGCUUUCGACAGCCUUAAAAGAUUAUGGAUUCAAACAAUCGCAUUCGGAUUACUCACUUUUUACCUUGCAAAGAGAUACAUCUCAAGUCAAUGUUCUCGUCUAUGUUGAUGAUUUGAUUAUCUCAGGUAAUAAUCAUGAAGCUAUUGAGUCUUUUAAAUCUUAUCUCAGUGAUUGUUUUCAUAUGAAUGAUUUAGGACCCUUAAAAUAUUUUCUUGGGGUGGAAGUUGCGCGUUCUCCAAAGGGGAUUGUUUUGANNNNNNNNNNNNNNNNNNNNNNNNNNNNNNNNNNNNNNNNNNNNNNNNNNNNNNNNNNNNNNNNNNNNNNNNNNNNNNNNNNNNNNNNNNNNNNNNNNNNCGGAAGUUGGACUUUUAGGAGCCAAACCAUCAAGUAUUCCUAUUGAGCAGAAUCAUAAGUUAGCUCUUGCUACAGGUUCUUUUUUAAAUGAUCCAGAACCGUAUCGUCGUUUGGUUGGACGACUUAUUUAUUUAUGCUUCACAAGACCGGAGCUUGCAUACAGUGUUCAUAUUUUAUCUCAAUUCAUGCAACAACCACGCAUUGAUCAUUGGAAUACAGCGCUUCGAGUUGUUCGUUUCUUGAAAGGAACUCCGGGUCAAUGAGUGUUUUUGAGUAGCAAAAGUGAUCUGCGGUUGCACGGUUGGUGCGAUGCGGAUUGGGCCGGUUGUCCGUUGACAAGACGAUCACUCACAGGAUGGUUGAUUUUCUUGGGUACUUCUCCGGUAUCUUGGAAGACAAAGAAACAACACACGGUGUCUCGAUCCUCCGCAGAAGCCGAAUAUCGAUCCAUGGCUGUGACCACAUGUGAGCUCAAAUGGUUAAAGGGAUUAUUAGGUAGUCUUGGAGUCUCUCAUCCGCACUCAAUAACGCUUGCUUGUGAUAGUCAAGCUGCUCUUCAUAUAUAUCACAAUCCGGUCUUCCAUGAGCGUACCAAACAUAUCGAGGUGGAUUGUCAUUUUGUUCGGGAUGAAAUUCUCCACGGCAAUGUGAAACCUACCUAUGUUCCAACAACGUCACAACUUGCGGAUAUAUUUACCAAGGCUCUUGGUCAGACAUCUUUGCGUUCUGUCCUUUGCAAGUUGGGCAUCCGUGAUCUUCAUGCUCCAACUUGAGGGGGGUAUUGGAAUUAAUUAUGUAAAUAUGUAUGGUAGUUUUUGUGUAUAUCUAUUUUCUUUUAAUUAGGAGAUUAGAUGCUAAAGUUUAGGAGAUAAUAUUUUGUUUUAAUUAGGAGAUUAGAUGCUAAGUUUAAGAGAUAAUAUUUUGGUUUCUAUCUUUGUAUUUUACUGUGUAUAUAUGUUCUUGAUUUUGGGAGGAAUAAAACACAGAGAAAAUUCCCACAAUUCUUGUUAUUUUUUCAGUAUGUGUGUUAAAUAUAUGCGUACACAUAUUUUCAAAUUUACUUGUAUAUUGUACUUGUAUAUGUAUAUUUGUAAAUAUUUAUUCAUAUAUGUUUUAAAUUAAAGUAUUUGUAUCAUAUCGAACACUAACUUUUCAACAUACCCUUUUGAAAAUAUAUUUUGGUUUUAACCAUAUAUCAAAGUUAUUUUCUUGAUUCAAAGGUUUUUUUUUUUGAAUAAAAGCAUUAUUGGAAGUUUGGGAUUUUCGAGGGAAAUUGAGCCCUAACGUAUUGGGUUCUGAUUUUCUUUGUCAAUCUUAAAUGACCGAGAAUAUUCUUUAUUCAAAAUCAUGAGCAUAAAAAUUAUUUUUGGGAACUUAACUUGUCGUGCCCUAACGUAUUGGGUGUGGCAUGUUAUUUUCUCGAAAUGAAGAUUUUCGCAUAAAAUAAAAGUGAUAUUCAAAGUUCGGGGAUUAUGAGGAAUUGUACCCUAACGUAUUGGGACUCGAUUUCUUUACAUGACUUGAACAAUUGAUUAUCCUUUUUCAAAUUUCAUCGAUUUUAAAAUCUUUUUAACCUUCGACACUAAGACAUUAAAUGAUCAAUUUGGUACCGAUUUUGGGCGUUACGAGGGUGCCAACCCUUCCUCGUGCGUAACUGACUUCCGAACUCGUUUUCUCAAAGUUCGUAGACCAACAUAAUUCUUAAGGUGAGCCGAUCACACCUUAAUAAAGGAUCGGUGGCGACUCCAAUUUUAUUUUUAAAAAGUUGACAAUUAAAUUUUUUGUUUUCAAAAAACGAUUUCGACAAUGAUUAUAGUGAAAUAAAAUGAUAUGGUGAUGUAUAAAAAUGGAAUGAUGAUAUACAAAAAAUAAAUAUGCCGUGCUAGUAAAUGACAAUAAUAUAAAUAUAAUAAUAAAACCAAAUCAUAAUAAUAAUGGCGAUAAUCAUGUUAUAUUUACUACUCUAAUACUAAUAUAAAAAAUCAAAGAAAAAUAAAUAAUAACAAUAAUAAUAGUAACAAAAUGUGCAAAUAAAAGAAUAAAGAACAAUAUAAAUUUUAAAUACAAAAAGAGUAAGUAAAUAAAUAAAUAAAUACAUAAAUAAAUAAAUUUCAUGAAAGAUUGAAAUUAAAUAAACCAAUGAUUGAAUCAGAAUUAAAAUGACAUUAAAAGUAUAAAUUGUGAUAAAAUAAGUACAUAAAAGACUAAAAUGAAAAACGCGAAAACAAACAAGGACCAAAUGAGCAAUUAUCCUAAUCCUCAGGACACACGUCUUUUCUCCAAAAGAUCAACAAACCGAGAACCUAAUUGUAAGCGGGAUAAAAUUGAAUGGUAUAAUUUCUAAAAAGAAAGAAUAGUGAAAUUAGGACUAAAUUAAAACAACUCAAAAGGCGGAAGGACUAAAAUUGUAAAUAUCCCCACAAAAAAAAUGCGGAUCCUAGGAGUAUUCGGGUCGGGUCGGGUCGUCGGAUCCUGUCUCAAAACGAUGCCGGUUUUGGGCGUUUAAGGCUUGGAUGAAACAACACUAUUUCACUAGGUCUAUUUAAGUUAAGAUUUUUUUUAAAAAAAAAUCAUUUUAGCCCCCAGUAAAAAAAAUCCGAAAACCCUUUUUUUUUUUGAAGUAGUUUCUGAGUCCGCCACUGGUCCGGCAAGCCCCCAUGAUGGCCACCUGUCGCCGGCGACAGGCUCUGUCGUUCCCGGUGGCCAGAAAACACAAAACAACUCCCAUUUUGAGUGUUUUAGCUCCUAGAAACCAGAUCUGGAGUUGGUGUUUCCUAAAACUCGACAAAAAAUAAAAUAAAUAAAAAAUAAUAGGAGAAGUCCCUUCGGUAUAUCCGCCGUUUCACUGAAGGGAGCUGUCUGUCAUUAGGGACAGUGUUCUCGUCUACUCGCAGCAGUGGAACACGAGUCGACACGGUGAGUUUCUGAUUUCUUUUUUCAUUUUAUGUUUUUUUUUAAAAAAAAACCAACUGAUAAAAAAAAAUCACCCUUGAAAUUUUUAGUAUUCUGGUUUUUGAUUUCUUCUCUAUGUGUUUUGAAAUUUUUAGUAUUUUGGUUUCUGAUUGCUUCUCUGUGUGUUUUGAAAUUUUUUUGUAUUUCUCCGUCUAAAAUAUAAUCUAUUGUCAUGGCUUUUAUAGCCAUAUAUUACACUGUUUAUUAUUUUUUCUGCUUUGCUACUAUUUCUGUUACUUAUUGUCCUUUCGUUCUUUCUGUUUUUACAGGUGACGGUGGAGUCAACGACGAGGAGAGACUCCUGCCUUUGCCAUUUUGGUGCAAUGGCGACAGGGGCGCGUCAGAUCUCAGGACGAAAAGCCUCAGGCAACGUGCAUGCGAAGGGGGGUGCAACGGUAGAAACUGGUUUAAGUUUUUGGGCCAUUGGGCCCUCUUUUUUUUGUGUUUGGGCUUUGUAAUUGGGCCAGUUUGUAAAUAGACCGUUGUUUAUUUAGUUUGGUUUUAUUAUUGGCCGAGGCAAAAUUGAGCUCCUAUAUAUAUAUAUAUAUUUACACACUAAUAAAUGGUUUUAUGCAUAUAUUGAUGCCUUUCGAAUAUGUGUUAUUGUCAUAUUAUUUUUAAUAUACUGUUUUAAUUAUUUAUCUAUUUUAUUUUCUUUCGAAAUCUUAAUUAAUUUCUUAUUUUCAAUAGUUUGUUUGUCUAAUUCAAUCAAAAGGAAAUUUGUAUUUUCAUGUAUUUUUUGUGUCGUGAUUCAAUUCAUGAGAUAAUAUUUGAUUUGAGUGACAUGAAGUAUUCAUGUAAAUUUUAAUUUUAAUAAGGCUUUUUUUUAUAAAAUUAACCCUAAAAAAUUAAUUAAUUACUUAAAUGACCUAUUUUUUUAAUAAAAUACGUAAAUAACUUAAAAUCUAUAGUAAAAGUUAGCAGAACUAAAGUGUAUGGCGCCACCAACAUGCCACAUCAGCAAUUACUGAACAUCGUAAAUAUUUUGGGAAUCGAAAUAGCCAUUUUGCCAAUUUCAUCGAGAUAAACAAGACGCAUUCUAUCAUAACUCAUUCCUACCAAGAAAAAAGUGCAGCACCGAUAAAGCUAUGAGAUAUUAUUUGUAAAAUAGCUCCGUUGAGUCCUGAUUAUAAAAUAAAUAAUAAUUUUUUUAAAAAAAAAUAAACAAAUAAAGACAAACAAAUAAAAAAAACUAGAAUAAAGACUAAAGGUUGGCUCCACCAAAAAAAGGAAAAUUUAUUUAAAGCCCUCCCAUUUUUUCAAAAAUUGUAGUAUUUCUUUAGUAUUUAUACAAGUGACGCUAUUUUAUAUAGCUCCACCAAAAGAUUGAUUUUUUUAUCCCAAUUGCGACGUGGCAUGUUAGUGGCGCCAAAUAUUUUGACUCCACAAACUUUUACUGUAAAUUUUAACUUAUUUAUGUAUUUUAUCAAAAAAACAAAUCAUUUACAUAGUUAAUUUUUUAGGGUUAAUUUUGGGUUUUUUACUAAAAUAAUAAUAAAAAAUAAAAAAAACCAAAAUAGUAGGCUAAUUUACCAAAAAAAAGCCUAUUUUUUUUAAAAAUUACCGAAAUGGGCCGAUUUUUUAAUUAUUUACCGGAACGGGCCAUUUUCCGCGAAAUCGCGGCCACGUCAGCGCGAUGUCAGGGUACGUGACAGGACAUCGCGUCCACGUCAGCGCGACCUGCUGACGUGGACGCGAUGUGGACGCGCGCGUGAACAGUGUCCAACGAUCAAAAAAUUGACCGUUGGCCCCCCCCAACGGUCAAAUUUUUUUUUACUAUAUAAACCCCCACCCCUUUUAUUUUCACAAACAAAUUCAAUAUUAAUUUCCUUCAAAAAUUCUCUCAAAUUCCUUCCAAAAUUCUCUCAAACUCUCAAAUUCCUUCCAAAAUCCUCUCAAAUUCCUUCAAAAAAUCUCCAAAUCCAUAUUAAAUUUCUUUUUCCAUUAAAUUUCAUUAUUUUAAGAAAAUUUUAUAAUUUUUUAUUUUUUUAAAAUAAUUUUAAAAUUUUUAAUAUUUUCAACAAUGGCCGGAUCAUUGAUUCAUCUUGAUAAGAAUCACAUAUCGGUGGAGCAAAUGAACAUGGUAAGUAUUAAAUUUAAAUUUUAAAUUUUAUUUAAGAUAUUUUUAUUUAUGUAUUUUUAGAUAUUUAUUAAUUUAUUUUUUGUUAUAAAAGGCUGAAGAUCGGGUAUUGGAAUGCAAUAUUCGGAAUAUGCAUGCUCCUCCAUCACCGUUAGUAGAGAACUACCUGCGGGAAGCGGGAUUUUGACACGUGGCGACGGUAGGCCGGGGAUGCAAGUUGGAGCCGAAACUGAUCAGUGCGUUGAUCGAGAGGUGGAGACCUGAGACGCACACAUUUCAUCUUCUAUGUAGAGAGUGCACUAUCACUCUAGAAGAUGUCCUUCUGUAUUUGGGAUUGCCGGUGGACGGCCACACAGUGACCGGGUCUGCCCAAUCUAGCAAUUGGAAGGCGGUGUGCUACAAGCUUUUGGGCGUCGUUCCGAAUAAAAUGGAUGGAUGUAAAGUGGAGAUGGGCUGGUUAUGUGCCACCUUCCCCGAUCUGAAUGAAAAUUCAACCGAAAUUGAAAGAAUCUGAUAUGUUCGAUCAUACAUUCUUCAAAUAAUUGGAGGCUAUCUCAUGGCCGACACGUCACAGAGCCGUGUACAUCUAAGGUGGCUGCUAAAACUCGUUGAUUUUAGAGCAGCCGGUGAAUUUAGUUAGGGGUCUGCCGUCUUGGCAACAUUAUAUCGGGAGAUGUGCAAGGCGACCAAACCGAGGAGAGCAAAAAUUGGAGGAUGCCUGUCACUACUGCAAUCAUGGGCACGGUUUCGCUUUCCAUUUCUACGUCCUCGAGUGAACCACCCAUAUACAUUCCCACUCGUAACGAGAUAAAUUUUAUAUUACAUUUUGAAAUUGUUAUGUAGAUUUUGUAAGAAUAAAAGUAUGCUAAAAAUUUAUUUAAUUAGGUGGAACCAUCCGGCGAGUUAUCGUGGAUUACCGUCUGAACUUGAAGAUAUACGGCUUCUAUUGGACCAACGGUCGGAAGCAGAAGUAAGUAUUAUUGCAAAUAGAUAUUUCCAUACAUUCGCUAGUGGAUUGAUAUUUAGUAUUUACUAUUUAGUAUUACGUAUAUAAGUAAUAUUUCUAUCAUGUUCAUGUAGUUUCAAUGGACACCAUACGAGGAUCCGGCAAUCCGGGCAGUAAUCCUGGAAGAGUUUUUACAAAAUCCGGACACUUGGCAUGUGAAAGUGGUGUUGAUCAACUAUGCAACUGUGGAGCCCCACCAGACAGACAGAGUCCUACGACAGUUUGGAUGUAGACAACCGAUCCCUGUGGACCCUGACCUGAGGUGUUUGACGAGCACCACAAAAUUGACCUUCGGCUAUUAGUAACGGAUUGGCCUAGAUACUGGUCAGAGUACACGGAAAUGUGGGAAAAUCGGCAUGAAUAUCUACCUACUCGGGAACAAAUCAUCGUUCCCGAGUUAGCGUGCGUUCCAGAAUACAUGCCAUGGUUUAGGAUCCAUGGGAAGCCGUAUUUACUUACGCCAGAGGAGAGGCAGCGGCAAAUACGUGUCAGAAGGGAAAGGCGCGGGCCUCUAAAUCCAAGGGGACAAGACUACGAGGGCAGCCCAUCAACGAGGCCUAGACAUUCACCCGGCUCAUCAUCAGUGGCCAUGCAAUCACCGUCCCCAACGAAAGCACCGACGCAGUCACCUGACGCAGCAAUUCAACAGAUGAUACCCACGCAAUCGCCUUUCCCUAUGAUGCCAGUAUGUUUCCUAGCCCUUAUAUGUACCCUAACCCGUACAUGUAUCCUUUUCCGAAUCCUAUGGCAGGUUGGAGCCAAAUGCCCAGAUCAGCUCCAUUUCCUGUAACGCCGAGCGGACCACCGAUAACUAGGCCAUCCGUGCAGGAGGGGUCGCAAGGGGGGCCGUCGGGGAGCUCUCAUUUUUACCAAUCGCCAGCAACGCAUGGCUUUCAAACUUCGUCGCCGUUCAUGAUGCAAACACCUCCACAUACACUAUUCUUUGAAGGUAAAUCAUCGUCUCAAGUCCGACAAGCAGAUGCCGAACCGGAAGAACAACAAUCACCACCCGAGGAAGAACAACCGCCGCCGGAAGCUAGAGGAAAGAGGAAUCCAGCGCGUAACCGUCGACGGCCGCCAUGUGGAACCGAAUCCCCCGGUCAUAUACAUUGAUUACCGUAUUAAAAUUUAUCAUUUGAUGUAAUGAAAUAGAAGUUUAUGACGAUGUAAUACACAUAGAAAUUUUUCCGAGUUAUUUUGACAUUAUUUGAUUAAAAACCGUAACUCUAACCUAAUUUAAUUAAAAACCCUAACUUAACUUAAUUAAAAACCCUAACCUAACUUAAUUUAAUUAAAAACUCUAACUUAACUUAAUAAAAACCCUAACAUAACUUAAUUUAAUUAAAAACCCUAACCCUAACCUAAUUUAAUUAAAAAUCGUAACCUAACUUAAUUAAAAACCCUAACCUAACUUAAUUUAAUUAAAAACCCUAACCUAAUUUAAUUAAAAACCCUAACCUAACUUAAUUAAAAACCCUAACCUAAUUUAAUUUAAUUAAAAACCCUAAUUUCAUCUGGGACCGGUGGGAAAACGUGUCUCCAAACGUUGUACAUGUUUUCUAAUUUGUACACUUCGUCCACAUAACUUAGCGGAUCCAGACGGAGUUUCUGACAGGCUACAAUAACAUGAGCGCAUGGAUAACGAAGUGCAUCGAACUUCCCACAGUCACAAGUCCUGUUUCGCAAGUGUACACGAUAUUGCCCGCCAACAACACCUUGGUGCGGUAUGUCGAACUCCGUCACGUAAAACUAUAAAUUGUCUCGAUCGUGACACACAGCGUGCAUGAUGUUUGCCCUCGCCUUCACUUUGUUAAUUUCUUGAACUACCUUACUGCACCAUACAUGCCCACCCUGCAUCUGGCCUGCAUAAGUUGCUGCUCGCUUUGGAAAUAGCGCCGCCAAACGGAAAUAUGUCUCUCGCACAACCACUGUUAUCGGUAGAUGGCGCGUUCCUUUAAGAACAGAAUUUAUGCAUUCUGCCAGGUUCGACGUCAUAUGGUCAUAUCGUAGGCCUCCGUCGUAUGCUUGUGCCCACUGUUCGAAACGUAUGUUGCAAAGGUAGUCCUCCCCUUCUCCGUUUUGGGAUAGCAAGAUUGCCAACAUCUCGUGAAAACGAUCUUUAUUCAUUUCAUACCCUACCAAUAUAAGAACAUAGUGAAUAUUUUAUACCGCUUCUACCAAUAAAACUAAUUCAAUUUGACAAACGAAAUAAGUCCGAGGAUCUGCUUUUAUCGUGGGCAGUAUCAAGCUAGCCAACAUAGCUGAAUCCAUUUUCGGAUGAUCUUCUGAAACACCUACAGAGGGAGGGAGUACAUUAAAUAAUGCAACAUUGGAAAAUAAAAAUAUUAUUCAGACACAUUCAAUAAUGUACCUGCAGCACAUGUAUGUGGACCUUUGUACUUUUUGAUCUCUCACAACCAUGUCCUCUUCCUUAACGAGGCGACGAUUUUCCAUGAACAUGUGCCGUCUUGCACCGCACACUUCGCCUCAAACUUAUCAGAUUUUGAUUUAACGACGUGGUAAUUAACGCCGUUUUUGAUGCUAUGCUGUUUCAAAGCACCAAUAAAACUAUCCUUAUUGGUAAACUGAUUACCAACUUCAAGUUCACCGAGAUCUACCCCCGAACUUGUACGAUCGCGCACUCGGUGUGGCAGAUCUGGAAACUCUAACGCAUCAUCAUUUGACAGAUCGACAUUAUGCAUGUGGGCUGGAGGUGAGUAUGCUCUGAAUCGUGGAUUUUCUUCAUCAUCUGCACUCCUAUCACCAUCUUCACCUUCUGUUGGAAUAGGCUCCGGUUCAGAAAAUAAUCCCACCUCUGUACCAUCCGGCCCGGGCUCUCGAGGUGGAUCCACAUCGGAGUCACCUUCUAACCCACAAUCAUCUGCAGCGUACGAUGUCCCCUCACCGGUUGAUGUCGUAGGUAGUACGUCAUCCCUUCUUCUGGCAUUUGAUAACGUCCCCAAUUGGAUGUAGAUUGCCAUCCGGUAGAACUUGAUGCAGUUCCCCAGCUCGUAUUUCCAGCGUCAAACGUCGAGCCACCGACGUAUAUGUCCCAUCCACCGACAGAGUGUCUUGGGGGGAUGUGCAUUCGACACCGCUACCGAACAUGGGCUGUUCUGUAUUUUGUAACACGCUAAUUGAGUGUCGGCCAGGCGGUCGUGUAUACAUUCUCGAACACCAGACGGAANNNNNNNNNNNNNNNNNNNNNNNNNNNNNNNNNNNNNNNNNNNNNNNNNNNNNNNNNNNNNNNNNNNNNNNNNNNNNNNNNNNNNNNNNNNNNNNNNNNNCUCUAAGCUACGAGCACAUUUUAUGUCGAACGAGUCAUAUGUCACCGGAUCAACAGAAGAACAAAAUCGAUACGUCAUUGACAGAACUUUCAUUGGCGUCGUUCCGAAGAUUUUACGCCUAAUUCUUUUACGGAGUUCUGUCAAAUCUAUGUUUUGGCUAAAUGACAGUCGCACCGUAUUCUCCGAAAAAAAACAACACCAUUCUCGGUGUGGCAAACCUCACCAUUGUAGUAAAUAACAGCACUAAUACGUUCACUCAUUUUGAAAAUCUAAGUUUCUUAGCCUCUCUAAAAUGUUUCUGCUGUGAGUUAUGCAUUCUAAGAACAUUUUCUGCCUAAUUUAUAGCCUCAGCCCAAAUUUGCUACUGUAGCAAAAUCGCGUCCACGAGGGCGCGAUUUGACACUAUUUGCUCAGAAACGUCAAAACAAAAUUAUUUCCCACAUGACCAAUUGUAGCGAAAUCGCGUCCACGAGGGCGCGAUUUCACAAUUUCUUCUCAUAUAGCAUCCUGGUAUCAGCGAUUUUAUACUAUUUGCUCAGAAAACGUCAAAAAAAUUAUUUCUUACAUGACCACUGUAGCGAAAUCGCGUCCACGAGGCCACGAUUUCACAAUUUCUUCUCAAAUAGCAUCUUGGUAGAAGCGAUUUCCCACUAUUUGACCAGAUACGUCAACUCGAAAAAAAUUUUCCGAGACCCCUAACCCCUAAAAAGCCUGCACCCUAAACCCUAAAAGUCAGAAAACCCAAAUGUAAAAUCAGCGUCAAAAUCGCGUCCCCAGAACCGCGCUACGUGGCAGGACAUCGCGUCCACGUGGCCGCGAUUUCACGGAAAAUGGACCAUUCCGGUAAAUAAUUAAAAAAUCGGCCCAUUUCCGUAAUUUUUUAAAAAAUGGACUUUUUUUGGUAAAUUGGCCAAAAUAGUAUAACUUUUUUUAUUUACAGAAAUGGUACAAAAAAAAAACAGUAGUGGAGGGAUUGCCACAGGCGGCACCAAUGGUGCCAGUGGCAGAGGCGGCACCAAUGGUACCAGUGGCAGAGGCGGCACCCCCCAUUUAUUCGUAUUUUUCUUAUUUUCAAAUUUUUUAUAAAAAUAGUAUUAAAAAUAAAAUACCGAAAAAAUAUGUUUAUGAAAAAAAUAAAAUACGAAAAGAAAUAAAAUACGAAAAUAGUAUAUUUACUGAAAGUAAUAAAAUCUGAAAAUAAGAAAAAUACGAAAAAGGGCCAAAAUAAGGGUUUUUUUACGAAAUUUAUAUAAAAAAACACACUAAAUUAAUACAUUUCUCAUUGUUUGUAUGCUUCAAUUGGAUAUUUUUCUUUUAAUAUUUUGAUUAUAUUUUUGUUUUUAAUAUGAUAUUUAGAAUUAUCCAAUUCAUAAAUAAAAAAAUAAUGUAUUUCAGCACACUUAAAUCUAUGUAUUUAUAAAUAACAAUACUCUUAUAAAAUGAAUUAAGACUAAAUCAUUAAUUGUGUACUUAAAUACAAUAACGGUUUGUGAAAUGGAAAAUAAAUUUUGACAUUCAUUCACGUAGAUUUUAGAGUAAUAUUUUGAUGUGGAUUUAAUGUAUUAUUAGUGAAUAUUUUAUACCUAAUAAGAAACUUAACAGGUAACAAUAAUGUAGAUGUAAAUUUAUUUUGCCACAAACAACGCAACUUUUUUCUAGGAUAUUUCUUUUUUUUUUACCAGAAAGCUAUUUUUACCUAGAGGUGCCCAAAGGCCGGGCGAUCCAUCCGAAAUAUAGGAGGGUUCGGGUAACAAUAUAGGCCCGAAAUAUGGGCUUGGGGAAAAAAAGAGGUCCGUUUAGAAAACGGGCCGGACCUCGGGCAAAAAUUUUUUAGCCCGGGCCCGGCCCAAAAAUAUAUUAAAUAUAUAUUUUUUAUUUUUAAAAUAUACUAGUAUUAGUUUUAUUUUAGUUUUAAGUUACAAAAUGUUAGAUUUUGUUACAAUAAUUAAUACAAUUAACAAUUAAUAAGUUGAUAUAAUUUGAUAAUUUUACUAACAGUUAAUACAAUUAACAAUUAAUAAUUUUACUAACAAAAUUUUAGAUUUUACAAAAUGUUGACUGGUACAAAAAAAAAUUGAUACAACUUUAAUAACAAUUAAUUUUGAUAACAAUUAAUUUUAAUAACAAUUAGUUUUAAUUUUAAUAAAAAUAUAAUUUUAAUUUUAAUUAAAAAAGGGCCGGGCUGGGCUCAGAUUCCAUAUUUUUUCCCAGGUCGGGCCUGGACAAAAUCUUAAACCCAUAUUUCGAGCCAGGCGAGCCCAUGCCUAAAAAACGGGCUAAAUUUUUUAAGCCCGACCUGGCCCGGCUCAUGGACACAUCUAUUUCCACCUAAACACAACCUUUUUCUAGGAUACUUUUUUUUUUUCCAGAAAGCCAUUUACACCUAAACCUACCUAACAGUGACAAGCUGAUGUUGAAAACUCUUAUUUUUUACCAGAAAGCCAUUUACACCUAAACCUACCUAAUAAUGACAAGCUUUCAUUCAAAUAAAUAAUAAUUUUUUUUAAAAAAAAUAAACAACUUACGACAUAUUUUAAUAUUUAAUUUUAAAAAUUCGACAAAGACGAAAAUACUUUAGCAAAUAAAAUAAUCUGAUAAUAAGUACAAUAAUUGGAGUUGGAACUGCACAUAGAAUUGUAUGCUUCCUUAUGAUUGACCAUUUCUCAUUGUUUGUAUGCUUCAAUUGGAAUAUUUUGAUUAUAUUUUUAUUUUUAAUACAAUAUUUAGAAUUAUCCAAUUCAUAAAUAAAAAAAUAAUAUAUUUCAGCGCAUUUAAAUUUACGUAUUUAUAAAUAUCAAUACUCUUAUCAAAUAAAUUAAGACUAAAUCGUAUUUAAAUACAAUAACGAUUUGUGAAAUGGAAAAUAAAUUUUGACAUUCAUUCACUCUAGAUUUUAGAGUAAUAUUUUAUACAUAAUAAGAAACUUAAGAUGUAAAUUUAUUUUGCCACAAACAACAAAUAACACAACUUUUUUCUAGGAUACUUCUUUUUUUCUUUUACCAGAAAGCCAUUUCCACGUAAACCUAAUAAUGACAAGCUGAUGUUGAAAACUCUUCAAUGAACCGAGUGAAUUCAUUCAAAUAAUUGUUGCUUAAAUCUUCAUUGCCAAAAAUCUCUCUCAUUGCCCACGCGUUUGCCCUAAACACCUCACCUUCUGGUUCCACCAUCACCCGCCUAAUGGUUGCAGCCACCAAGUCGCUUGUAAACGAACUGUCCACUUCAUUUCUCUCGAUUUCUAACCCAACCUUCUUGCCAUGCAACAACCUAGCGUUCAACCCUAGAUCCGAACUUGCUCCAGAAAACAAGAUCAAAGCUCGACCGUACUUGAGUGCCUCGAUUAUGGAACUCCAACCACAGUGAGUCAAGAAACCCCCAACAGAAGAGUGGGCUAAUAUCCGCAACUGAGGUGCCCAAUCCCUCAACACUAAGCCCCUGCUAGACACUCGUUUUUCGAACCCUGGAGGAAUUAUGUCAUUCAUCUGCCCUUCACCCACCGGACGGUUCCUUACCACCCAAAUGAAGGGCAAGUUGGAUUUCUCUAUCCCAAAUGCCAAUUGGUGCAUGGACUCUUCACUUAGAUUCACUUCACUACCAAGAGCAAUAUAGAGAACCGAUUUCUCUCCUUCGCUGUCAAGCCAGCUUUUUAUAGCUUCCCAUUUGUUAUCCUCGUUUGAUGGCAGUGAUAAUAACGGAGGCAACAGGCCUACAGGAACCACAGGUUUCUGGUAAAGCUUGAUAAGCAAUUUAAUCUCGUCCCGUGCGAACUCGAAGCAGGUGCGCAUGGUUACAAAUUGGCAACCUUGAAUCAGUCGUCCCAUCCGUUGGAAAUCAGACACGUCGUCAUCCAUGCACUGUUGGUGGUUCACCAUCUCAUGUAGCUUGAAAGCUAUGUUGUUGCAAGGAUAAUCUAUCCACUCAGGG
RNAcentral lists this long non-coding RNA (24565 nucleotides) under Gossypium raimondii (Peruvian cotton). RNAcentral's name for it is "long non-coding RNA (GRAI_LNC010235)". The record is from RNAcentral. Lineage: Eukaryota; Viridiplantae; Streptophyta; Magnoliopsida; Malvales; Malvaceae.